RNAcentral lists this ribosomal RNA (468 nucleotides) under uncultured bacterium. RNAcentral describes it as "partial 16S ribosomal RNA". It matches the Rfam family "Bacterial small subunit ribosomal RNA", at positions 28 to 507 of the family's 1533-position model. The record is from RNAcentral.
GACGAACGCUGGCGGCGUGCUUAACACAUGCAAGUCGAACGGAAAGGCCCUGCUUUUGUGGGGUGCUCGAGUGGCGAACGGGUGAGUAACACGUGAGUAACCUGCCCUUGACUUUGGGAUAACUUCAGGAAACUGGGGCUAAUACCGGAUAGGAGCUCCUGCUGCAUGGUGGGGGUUGGAAAGUUUCGGCGGUUGGGGAUGGACUCGCGGCUUAUCAGCUUGUUGGUGGGGUAGUGGCUUACCAAGGCUUUGACGGGUAGCCGGCCUGGGAGGGUGACCGGCCACAUUGGGACUGAGGUACGGCCCAGACGCCUACGGGAGGCAGCAGUGGGGAAUAUUGCACAAUGGGCGGAAGCCUGAUGCAGCAACGCCGCGUGCGGGAUGACGGCCUUCGGGUGGUAAACCGCUUUCGCCUGUGACGAAGCGUGAGUGACGGUAAUGGGUAAAGAAGCACCGGCUAACUACGUG